RNAcentral lists this ribosomal RNA (494 nucleotides) under uncultured bacterium. RNAcentral describes it as "bacterial SSU rRNA". It matches the Rfam family "Bacterial small subunit ribosomal RNA", at positions 21 to 518 of the family's 1533-position model. The record is from RNAcentral.
GGCUCAGGACGAACGCUGGCGGCGUGCUUAACACAUGCAAGUCGAGCGGUAAGGCCCUUCGGGGUACACGAGCGGCGAACGGGUGAGUAACACGUGAGCAACCUGCCCCUGACUCUGGGAUAAGCGGUGGAAACGCCGUCUAAUACCGGAUACGACCUUCCACCUCAUGGUGGAGGGUGGAAAGUUUUUUCGGUCAGGGAUGGGCUCGCGGCCUAUCAGCUUGUUGGUGGGUAACGGCCUACCAAGGCGAUUACGGGUAGCCGGCCUGAGAGGGCGACCGGCCACACUGGGACUGAGACACGGCCCAGACUCCUGCGGGAGGCAGCAGUGGGGAAUAUUGCGCAAUGGGCGAAAGCCCUGACGCAGCGACGCCGCGUGGGGGAUGACGGCCUUCGGGUUGUAAACCUCUUUUACCACCAACGCAGGCUCCGGGUUCUCUCGGGGUUGACGGUAGGUGGGGAAUAAGGACCGGCUAACUACGUGCCAGCCGCCGC